Labeo rohita (rohu) is the source of this 411-nucleotide long non-coding RNA. RefSeq lists it as uncharacterized. The record is from RefSeq and is a predicted model, not a curated record. The transcript has 3 exons. NCBI's taxonomy places the organism in Eukaryota, Metazoa, Chordata, Actinopteri, Cypriniformes, Cyprinidae.
GAAAACAUCAGCUCUGUUCCUCUCCAUUGGCUCUUGGUCAUCACUGGUGUUUCAGUGUUGAUUUUCACAGCAGUUUCUGUAAUAUGCUGCUCCUACAAGAAGCAUAAAAAGGGUGCCCAGCAGAAUGAUCAUACAGACUAUACACAAGUUCAGUUACAGGAACAGGCACAAACAGAAAGUCACCCCAGCACCACCUACAGUACAAUAGGACAACACCCAAAACAUCAUAUAAUUUAUUCAGUGGUGUAUUAUUCAACAGUCAUAGCAGAUGACUGGUGCAUAAAUAGCAAAGGUUAAAUAUAUGAAAAAUGUGUGUUUGUCAAUUGAUAUCCUGUAACAUAUCACAAGCAUGCUGAUUUAAGUCAUUCAUUAGUAAUGAGUGAUAACAUAACUUAUAAUUUUUUUGUUGAA